GAUUUCACUGAUUUAUACAAGAAAUCAGAUCUUUACAGGAGGAACAAAAUAUUGAUUAGUGAACUUAGCGUGCCUCGCCCUGGUACAAAAGAUCUGCAUUUCAAGAAUCAAUACUCACAAACAUUUUGGACCCAAUGUCUGGCUUGCCUUUGGAAGCAACAUUGGUCAUACUGGCGUAAUCCUACUUAUACUGCAGUCAGAUAUAUUUUUACAGUCAUCAUUGCCUUGGCCAUUGGGACAAUGUUCUGGGAUCUUGGUACUAAAGUGUAAGUCCAAUCAUAUGACGGAACAAGCACUCAUAUAAUCUGGAAAAUACUUUCAGUUCUUAAUGCUAAAAACUUAUUUUUUUGGUAUUACAGCAGUAAGAGCCAAGACCUAUUUAACGCUAUGGGAUCUAUGUAUGCUCCAGUUCUCUUCCUUGGUUUUCAGAAUGCAUCAUCAGUGAUGCCUGUUGUAGCUGUUGAGCGUACAGUAUUUUACAGAGAAAGAGCUGCUGGAAUGUAUUCUUCCCUCCCCUAUGCCUUUGGACAAGUAAGCAUAUGAUUUAACUUCUUACAAGCCAAUAUCCGGUUUAAAAAGUCUAAAUAACUCUAAUCUGCAGACUUUCAUUGAAAUACCAUAUGUCUUUGUGCAAGCUGUUACCUAUGCUGUUAUCAUCUAUGCUAUGAUCGGAUUUGAAUGGACAGUGAGCAAAUUCUUUUGGUACUUGUUUAUCAUGUAUUUCACUUUCUUGUAUUUCACCUUCUAUGGUAUGAUGAGUGUUGCCGUUUCCCCAAAUCAAAAUAUUGCGCAAAUUGUCUCUCUCUUCGGCUAUUCAAUGUGGAAUCUUUUCUCAGGAUUCAUGAUUCCGCGACCUGUAAGUUGUUGAAACAAUUCCAUUUUGUUUUACAUGAAAAUCAAUUUAGAGCUUGAAAAUGAUGACAUGUUUUCAUUGAUUUUAAAUAACCAGAGUAUGCCCAUAUGGUGGAGAUGGUACUAUUGGGCUGAUCCUGUUGCCUGGACAUUGUAUGGUUUGGUUGUAUCGCAAUUCGGAGACCUCCAAGAUAAAAUUACUGAUAUAGAUGAGACAUCCAAACAAUUCUUGAGGCGUUACUUUGGGUUCAAGCAUGAUUUUCUUGGAGUAGUUGCAGCUGUGACUGUUGCAUAUGCUGUUGUUUUUGCCUUCACAUUUGGUUUGGCCAUUAAGUUUUUCAACUUCCAGAAAAGAUAGAAGAGCUUACCUGCUGAAGAUGGAACAUUCAUGAAAUGGUUAUAAAACUAGUGUAUUCAGGUUACCACUUGAACAAGUAUAUAUAUGUUCUGUUUGUUUUGUAUCGCACUACUAUGCAGUGAAAUGAUUUUGUAAGUUUGAAUCGAUUGUUUGUUUUUUCUUGAUGAAGGUGAUCCGCUACUUAAACACCCCUUGCGGACUUGUUGUCAACCCGUAGCUUCACUUAGAACCCUUUCUUAACCAUAGACUGUUGGAUCGAUCGUCCCUAUUUCAGACUUUGAAAUCUUUUCAUAGUGAACCAGUGGGGACAUGCACCUUGAACCUUUUAAGAGUAUACCGUGCAUAUUUUCAACUCGAAUGGAGGGCAAGGCAUAUAUUUAAGUGCUACAAAUUUUUACUAGUCCUGUGAAAAAUCAUUAUAUUGGUGUGUUUUCUUAACUUGUUUGGUAUUCUUGAACUUUCAGAAAGUCGAAGUUCAUGUCUUUGAUCGAUGGUCUUGGACUUUAUUUUGACCCCCAUACUUGCUCUAUGGACAAACCUAACAUGUCUCAAGUCUCAAGUCCAAACUUGUUGCUCAGGUGAACAUUAAGUUUCACAUUGGUUAAGGAAUUAGCCAUCCUAAUUUUUGGGGUUAAGUUAAAGUUCAUUUCUUCACAAUCUACGACUGGUUGUUAUACACAUAUAAAUAAAGGUGAUUGUAUUAAAAGAAUGGAAGCUUCCUCUUCCACUUCUUAAAUAAUGGCCAAAAAAAGAAGAAGAAAAAGCUGUCACUAAUUAAUACAAGGUUUAACAUCUUUUAUUAGAAUUUGACUUCAGAUUAUCAAUUCUAUUGAAUCAUCUUAGGGAGUCUAUAAGAUCAGAAGAUAUGUAUGUUAAGAUAUACAACUCUUAAAGAUGUAGAGUAAAAGAAAAAAAAAUAGAUUGAACCUAACAUAAAUAUAUAGAGUAACAAAAUAUUUAAUGUCCCAAUUAAUGUCAAUUCUUAAGCAUUUUAAUUCUAGCAGAAAACUUUGAUGGUUUUAGUCUUUUAGAUACUAGUACAAUUUAUAACCAAUAAAGUUGGCCUCUAUCGCUAGAGCUGUUAUAACGAAAAAUCAAACCAAACCAAAAAACGAAUCAAAUUGGAGAACAAAUACUUUUUUUUUGGAUUGUUUCUUUUAUCAAUUUUAACAAAGGACAAGUUUCCUAUAAAGUAAUUGUCUUGGUAGUGUUAAAUAGUUGCCGAAAUAUCACUGCUAACGCCAUUUUCGACAUCUUUGAAAUUCUGAGCUUGUGGUCUUCCUUCAAAAAUUCGAUGAGAUCUGAACUAAUGUAUGCUUGUUUUAGUUUUAAUAUUAGUAAAACCGACUUCUGUAUAAUUAAUGUCUGAUAGUCUUGUUUCUUUUUAAUCCCUAACCCCUACUCUUUAGGCGACAGUUUUGAUGAAGUAUAUUCAAAAGCAUUGUGCAAAAUUAGUUAUAUUUUUCUCAAAUUAUUUAUUACAUUAAUAGCUAACCCCCCUCCUUUUCUACUUGAUAUUAUAUAAUAAUAAUCCCUUUGCUUUUAAACUUCAGCAACACACUUAACUAACUUAGUUUGGUUCAAAAUGGAGCCAACUAAUUCAAGAGGUACUAGUUUGAGAGAAAGAAUAAUCAGGGGAAAUAGUUUGAAAGGGAAUAGUACUAACAACUCUAGGUGGACUAGCAAUGAUGGAGAGAUUUUUAAUCGUUCCACGAGGGAUGAAGAUGAUGAAGAGGCUCUUAAAUGGGCAGCUCUUGAAAAACUUCCAACGUUUGAUCGUUUGAGAAAAGGUCUCUUGUUUGGAUCACAAGGUGCAUCUGCUGAAAUUGAUAUACAUGAUAUUGGUUUUCAAGAAAGAAACAAGUUGCUUGAAAGGCUUGUCAAAGUUGCAGAUGAGGAUAAUGAGAAGCUCUUGUUGAAACUCAGGCAAAGAAUUGACAGGUAAGUUGAUGAAUCUUCUGUCGUCUUUGGCGGACGAAAAAUAUCUAUGUAGUUGUGAUUACAUUUUAGUAGUGUACGAGUUUACUUUAGGUUCAUGUUCGUUAGAUGUAGUUAGAGAUAUAUACGUUGUUUGAUAAUUUAGAGAAUUUUUGUAGUGUUAGAGAAACUAAAACUACCUUUUAUAUUCCUUGUACAAAUUUAUGUAACAUAAUUUGACUGCGCAUGAAGAUUUAGAAGAAAUUUUUUUGAAACUCGUGGCUGUAAACUUGGCAUAUCACUUGUGUGGCUACAAAAGUUUCUCACUAAAGGUAGAACGAUCAUUCUUUCUUUAACGAACUGAUAAGGAAACAGUUUUGCAUAAAUUGGAACCAUGGGAGAAAUAUUAAACUGAGACAUAUGUAAACGGAGUGACAUGGAUUGUGAGGAUUAAUAUGGUCAAUCUGACUUGCUUACAAAUUGAGACAUAGUAGUUGUUAUACUGUUGAUUAUCUAAAACUAGUUUUUUUUUUUUGAAAAAUAAUAUUUAACUUAGGCGGUCUUAAGUGGAGCAGACUUAGAUUUAUGAAGAUUCAUAUAGUCAGUCAGACUUGCUUAGAAUUGAAACAUGAUUAUUGUUAUACUGUUGCUUAUCUAUGACUAGUUGUUUUUCCCUCUUGAUUUAACCUUUCUUAUUUCUUUUCACAGAGUUGGGAUAGAUUUCCCAGAAAUAGAAGUAAGAUAUGAGAAUUUAACUAUCGAGGCAGAUGCAUAUAUAGGAAGUAGAGCUUUGCCUACAUUUACCAACUUUAUCACUAAUUUUCUUGAGGUAAAAUAUCUAAAAGAAAAUCUUGAUUUCGAAUCAGUUCUCUUUAACAAAAAGAAUUUUUUUGUUUUGAUUUUUGGAUUCAUAGGAUAUGUUGAACUCUCUCCAUAUUCUACCGAGUCGAAAGAGGAACCUCACUAUUCUUAAUGAUGUGAGUGGUAUCAUUAAGCCUUGCAGAUUGACUUUGCUUUUAGGACCUCCAGGUUGUGGGAAAACUACUUUUUUAUUAGCUUUGGCUGGAAAGCUCGAUUCUGCCCUUAAGGUAAUACCAUUAGUUCUACGUAUUGAAGGGACUUAAGCUAUAUAUACUGACUGCAAAGAUUAUCAUUUUUAUCAGUUCAACAAUUAAUAUGUUCUUAUCAUAGACCGUCAAUGCAUAGAACUUAAACUCCAAACCAAAUGUUUGUAUUUGGUUGCUUUUUUUCUGUUUUUCCGAAAUCAGGUUACUGGAAAAGUGACCUAUAAUGGACAUGUAAUGAAUGAGUUUGUGCCACAAAGAACAGCUGCUUAUAUUAGCCAGUAUGAUUUACACAUUGGAGAAAUGACUGUGAGGGAAACCUUGGAAUUUUCUGCCAGAUGCCAGGGAGUUGGCUCGCGUUAUGGUUGGAAUCUCUUACCUUUUUUCUUAAUCUUGAUUAUGUUUCAUACUUUAUUUUUCAAUGAAAAAAAUCAGUUCUUUUUUUUGAAAUUUAACUAACUAAAUGAUAAACGAUUAGUGUUUCUGGGAAUUUUUUUGCAGAGAUGUUGAUUGAACUGUCAAGAAGAGAGAAAGCAGCUAAAAUCAAGCCAGAUCCUGAUAUUGAUAUUUUCAUGAAGGUAGGCAACUAGGAUAUUUCCUUUCUCGAAAACAAAUGCUCAUAAUCCUAAUUAUGUUGUGACAAUGUAGGCAUUAGCCACAGAGGGACAAGAAGCCAUUUUUGUUACAGAUUACGUUCUGAAGGUAACAAAGGUUUCUCGAAAUUUUGGACGGUCAGAAGGCAGAAGAAAAUUUGACAACUGAGUGAUAUGUGUAUUCUACUGCAGCUUUUGGGACUGGAUAUUUGUGCAGAUACUCUGGUGGGAGAUGAAAUGAUAAGGGGUAUUUCAGGAGGACAAAAGAAGCGCGUGACAACCGGUGAAAUGCUCGUUGGACCAUCCAAGGCACUCUUCAUGGAUGAAAUCUCGACUGGAUUGGAUAGUUCAACUACUUACUCAAUAGUGAACUCACUAAGACAAUCUGUGCAAAUCUUACAUGGAACUGCUGUGAUAUCUCUCUUGCAGCCAGCACCCGAGACGUACAACUUGUUUGAUGACAUUAUUCUGUUAUCAGAUGGGAAAAUUGUCUAUCAGGGCCCUCGAGAGGAUGUCCUUGGCUUCUUCGAGUCCAUGGGGUUCAAAUGUCCAGAUAGAAAAGGCGUGGCCGACUUCUUGCAAGAAGUAUGUCUUACAAGAAACUACAAAACUAAUAAUAAUGUUGACAAGCAGUGAUCUAUUUUCCCUUCUGAUGGUGAAAAUUUAAAUAUGUUGCAGGUGACUUCAAAGAAAGAUCAACAGCAAUAUUGGGUGAGGGAUGAAACUUACCAGUUUAUCAAGUCAAAUGAAUUUGCUGAGGCAUAUCAAUCAUUCCAUGUUGGGAGGAAACUCGCGGAUGAGCUUGCAGCUUCAUAUGACAAGAGCAAAAGCCAUCCUGCUGCUUUGUCAACUCAAAAGUAUGGUAUAGGGAGGAAACAACUCUUAAAGGUCUGCACUGAACGAGAAAUCUUACUAAUGAAGAGGAACUUAUUUGUUUACAUUUUCAAGUUCAUUCAGGUGAUAACUUGUCUAUGAAAAUUUUCAAUUUUCACGUCUCCGGCUCAUCAUAUUUACUUGCAAGUACUAAUGCCUCAAGGUUGUGAUCUGUUCACAGAAUAUGAUUAUCGCAGUCAUAACAACGACCCUCUUUUUCCGUACUAAGAUGCCCCAUGAUACUAUAGAAGAUGGAGGAAAAUAUGCUGGUGCACUCUUUUUUAUAGUCACUCAGAUCAUGUUUAGCGGAAUGAUUGAGAUAGGCUUGGUAAUUUACAAACUUCCUAUCUUCUACAAGCAAAGGGAUCUUCUAUUUUUCCCUUCAUGGGCUUAUGCAAUGCCCUCAUGGAUACUAAAAAUCCCUAUAGCAUUUGUUGAAGUUGGCCUUUGGGUGUUGCUCACUUACUAUGUAAUUGGAUUUGAUCCAUCCCCUGUAAGGUAAGGGAAGAAAAAGAUGAUGCAGUAAAAAUAUCAGGUUAAAAAAAAAAGAAGAUGAUGCAAUAAAAAUAUCAGGUUAACUUCAACAGUUUCCUUUUUACCUUUUGCAGAUUAUUCAAACAUUUCUUGCUACUCAUAUUAGUAAACCAGAUGACAUCAGGAAUGUGCCGCUUCCUUGGGGCUGCUGGAAGGACCAUGGGAGUUGCAAAUACAUAUGGAACAUUUGCUCUGCUUUUACUUUUUGGAUUGGGUGGAUUCGUUCUUUCACGAGGUAUUUUUGUUGAUUUAUGUGGUUGUAGAAGCUUUUAUCUUCCUAGAACUGACUCCUGCAAAUAUUGUAGAUGAUGUGAAGAAGUGGUGGAUAUGGGGUUACUGGUCUUCACCGUUGAUGUAUUCUCUGAAUUCAAUUUUUGUCAAUGAAUUUGAUGGGAAAAGGUGGAAACACAUUGCACCAACAGGAACUGAUUCACUUGGAGUUGCAAUUGUAAGAUCCCGAGGUUUUUUCCCAAAUGCAUACUGGUACUGGAUUGGUGUCGGUGCACUUAUUGGUUUCACAAUCGUCUUUAACAUCUGCUACAGUAUUGCACUCGCUUUUCUUAACCGUGAGUAUCUUUAGAGUUUUUCCAUUUAUUUUCCCUUAAAGGCGUAUACAUUGAAUGUUUAGUUGAAUAUCUACAGCACUUGGUAAGCCGCAAGGUAUGAUAUCAGAAGACAGUGAUGAUGCCAAAACAACAAACACUGGGAAAGAAGUACCCACUAGUGAGGGCCAGAAUAAGAAAAAGGGAAUGGUUCUUCCAUUUGAACCGCAUUCCAUCACCUUCAAUGAAGUUACAUACUCUGUUGACAUGCCUCAGGUAACUAGCUGGGAAUUGUUGUAGGAUAUAAAAAUUAUGAUACUUUCAGUGAUACUGAACUUUCCAAUGAUACUUUCAGGAAAUGAAAAAUCAAGGUGCCACUGAAGAUAGAUUGGUACUUCUGAAUGGUGUAUGCGGAGCUUUCAGGCCCGGUGUUUUGACAGCAUUGAUGGGAGUUAGUGGCGCUGGAAAAACAACGUUAAUGGAUGUAUUAGCUGGACGAAAAACAGGAGGAUAUAUUGAGGGUAGUAUCAAGAUCUCUGGCUAUCCGAAGAAGCAAGAAACAUUUGCACGUAUAUCCGGAUACUGUGAACAGAAUGAUAUCCAUUCACCUUAUGUUACAGUUUAUGAGUCAUUAGUAUACUCAGCUUGGUUGCGUUUACCUUCUGAUGUUGAUGAAAAGACCAGAAAGGUUUGCUCCUUUUGAAUAUAAGUUAAAUGCAGUUAAUGUGGAAAUCAUAUGACAUUUCCUAUAUUAUAUCCUUGUGUAGAUGUUUGUUGAUGAAGUUAUGGAACUUGUGGAGCUUACACCAUUAAGGUCAGCGUUGGUUGGUCUGCCAGGAGUCAACGGUCUCUCAACUGAGCAACGCAAAAGGUUGACCAUUGCAGUGGAACUAGUGGCAAACCCCUCUAUCAUUUUCAUGGAUGAACCAACUUCGGGGUUGGAUGCAAGAGCUGCUGCAAUUGUUAUGAGAACUGUUAGGAACACAGUUGACACAGGAAGAACCGUUGUUUGUACCAUCCAUCAGCCUAGUAUCGACAUUUUUGAAGCAUUUGAUGAGGUGAAUCUAAUAAAUGUCAUCUUUCUUUUUUGACAUUGAAUACUAAUAUAAAUACCACUCUUUGCAGCUAUUUCUAAUGAAACGAGGAGGAAACGAGAUAUAUGUUGGUCCAUUGGGUCACCAUUCUUGCCAUUUAAUCAGAUACUUUGAGGUAAGUUGUCUAAGUAGAUAAACGAGCCUCCCCUUUUUCAAGUUAAUACGAUCGAAUAACAAAAUAAUUCUUCUUGUAUUCAGUCAAUUCCUGGGGUAAGUAAAAUACACGAUGGCUACAAUCCAGCAACUUGGAUGUUAGAAGUCACAAAUUUGGCUCAGGAAACGAUGCUGGGGCUUGAUUUCACUGAUUUAUACAAGAAAUCAGACCUUUACAGGAGGAAUAAAACAUUGAUUAGUGAACUUAGCAUGCCUUGCCCUGGUACAAAAGACCUGCAUUUCAACAAUCAAUACUCACAACCAUUUUGGAUCCAAUGUAUGGCUUGCCUUUGGAAGCAACACUGGUCAUACUGGCGUAA
Molecule: long non-coding RNA, 8300 nt
Filed under: Solanum lycopersicum (tomato)
Lineage: Eukaryota; Viridiplantae; Streptophyta; Magnoliopsida; Solanales; Solanaceae
Description: long non-coding RNA (SLYC_LNC001090)
Source: RNAcentral